GGCUCAAUGGUUAUAGCACUCAAUAGCACUUAUUGAACUCAAUGGUUAUAGCAAACCCCAUUUAUAUCUUGAAGUCAUCAUGGCUGAAAGUAGGCAUAUAUACGAUCUUGGCUCAUUGAUUCAAGACAGUAAACCAGCGAGUUUUCUUUUGUAAGAAAGGAUUAUGAAGCAAAAGUCUCUGCUGCCAUUCCGACUAAAACAGACCUGUUUCGAAAAGGAAAGCUGGCGAGAGAUCUUAACGCAGAGUUGCUUAUCCCUAAGCAUAUGGGAGAUAAUUGGCGGGCUUUAAGAACUAGAGGUGAUGGUAACUGCGUGAACAUUUCUUUGCUAUCUCUACGUAUCUUUUUCUGCUCUUGGAGGAGUGAUAUUAUCAACGAAAGAAGAAGAACAUUUAUCAUUACUUGUUGCCUGCCUUUAGUACGAUGAUUACAUCGUGAACAUUUCUUUGCUAUAUCUACGUAUCUUUUUCUGCUGUUGUUCGACAAGUGGUAUCAAGUGUGAUUAAUGGUCAAAAACUUGUGCUUCAUUUGUGAGAUAUAAAAGGUUUCUUUGCGUUUCACGACAAAAAAUGUGCCAAGCUUCUACCUUUUCAAAAUCACUCGUGGAUUGGAAUGAUACCUUCCUGAUUGUAAGUUUUGGCGAAGAUAACAAGUUUUUUCCUGAUUCUGGAAGAUACAGCACUUCACGAAGACUAAUAUUUUGGGUACGACCAUUGGUAUCUGCCAAAAUAUUGUAUGAUCCUUUUCCAUACGCUGAUAUGGUUCGAUCAUCACCUAGGUUUACAAUGCAUGGCUUCUUGAAAUCCACAUAAUCAUAUAGACAGUUCUUUUGGUAUGUCAUGUGCUGAGUAGCACCAUAGUCUACAAUCCAGUGGGCAUUAUCUCCACAGUCGGAUGUAAUUAAAGCUUCUUGAUCAAGAUCAGCUUUAUCUUUCUCUGUACAAUGGACGAAUCCCUUAUUUUGAUCACCAUGUUGUUGCUUAUUCCCUCUUCUAUAACGUUCUGGACAGUCUCUGCCAAAGUGUCCCUUUUUCUUGCAAUUGUGACAAACUCCUUGAAAUUGUUUGUUAUAAUCCCUUCGUUCUUUCCCUUUUCCAUGAGUUGACUUGUCAUUGUUGAAUCUACCUCUUUGAACGGAAUAGGCAUCCUCAUACUUCUUUUCAUCACCCAUUCUGUCCACAUCAUUCAACAACAUGUCUUUGACUUUUUCAAACGUUAAGCUGUCUUCCGCAACAGCAUCUAAUGCGGUAAUCAGAGGUUUGUACUCAUCAGGCAGACUUGCCAACAAGGUCAUCGCCAAUUCCUUGUCAUUUACACUUAUCCCCAUCUCUCGCAUUUGAUCAUGAAGUGAACGCAUGUGAUUGAUAUGUUGCAACAUAUUACUUCCAGACUGGAAUUUGCAGGAAAAGUAUUGCUGCCUUAACUUGAU
This is a long non-coding RNA of Xenia sp. Carnegie-2017, 1428 nucleotides long. RefSeq lists it as uncharacterized. The record is from RefSeq and is a predicted model, not a curated record. The transcript has 3 exons. NCBI's taxonomy places the organism in Eukaryota, Metazoa, Cnidaria, Anthozoa, Malacalcyonacea, Xeniidae.